UACAUCGGAACGUGCCAUUGAGUGGGGGAUAACGUAGCGAAAGUUACGCUAAUACCGCAUAUUCUGUGAGCAGGAAAGCAGGGGACCGCAAGGCCUUGCGCUCUUUGAGCGGCCGAUGUCAGAUUAGCUAGUUGGUGAGGUAAAGGCUUACCAAGGCGACGAUCUGUAGCGGGUCUGAGAGGAUGAUCCGCCACACUGGAACUGAGACACGGUCCAGACUCCUACGGAGGCAGCAGUGGGGAAUUUUGGACAAUGGGCGCAAGCCUGAUCCAGCCAUGCCGCGUGAGUGAAGAAGGCCUUCGGGUUGUAAAGCUCUUUCGGCCGGGAAGAAAUCGCAUGGGUUAAUACCCUGUGUGGAUGACGGUACCGGAAUAAGAAGCACCGGCUAACUACGUG
Molecule: ribosomal RNA, 396 nt
Filed under: uncultured bacterium
Lineage: Bacteria
Description: bacterial SSU rRNA
Rfam family: Bacterial small subunit ribosomal RNA
Source: RNAcentral